GUGCAGCAGGCGCGAAACCUCCGCAAUGCGGGAAACCGCGACGGGGGACCCCGAGUGCCGUGGCAACGCCACGGCUUUUCCGGAGUGUAAAAAGCUCCGGGAAUAAGGGCUGGGCAAGGCCGGUGGCAGCCGCCGCGGUAAUACCGGCGGCCCGAGUGGUGGCCGCUAUUAUUGGGCCUAAAGCGUCCGUAGCCGGGCCCGUAAGUCCCUGGCGAAAUCCCACGGCUCAACCGUGGGGCUUGCUGGGGAUACUGCGGGUCUUGGGACCGGGAGAGGCGGGGGGUACCCCUGGGGUAGGGGUGAAAUCCUAUAAUCCCAGGGGGACCGCCAGUGGCGAAGGCGCCCCGCUGGAACGGGUCCGACGGUGAGGGACGAAGGCCAGGGGAGCAAACCGGAUUAGAUACCCCGGUAGU
This 413-nucleotide ribosomal RNA is filed under the name uncultured microorganism. RNAcentral's name for it is "bacterial SSU rRNA". It matches the Rfam family "Archaeal small subunit ribosomal RNA", at positions 330 to 745 of the family's 1478-position model. The record is from RNAcentral.